Molecule: long non-coding RNA, 2167 nt
Organism: Condylura cristata (star-nosed mole)
Lineage: Eukaryota; Metazoa; Chordata; Mammalia; Eulipotyphla; Talpidae
Exons: 3
Source: RefSeq, a predicted model, not a curated record
CCCAUUAGACCAUAACCUCCAGGAGGAAACCUGCCCUAAAAUAUCAUUUAAUCUAGAGGCACAUAAUCUAGUCUCUCACUCCUUGGAAAGGCUAACUAAAUAUUUGUGGAAGGGAAUUGAAUGCAAAUUAGAAAAAGUCAGUUCCGUAAGACAUGAAAGGAAUCAAAACGCUACUAGUGUUCCGGAGAGAAGCAGAUACCUAGCUCAAGGUGGACUGAAAGGGAGCUAUGCAAAGAAAGAAGAUUCCCUGAUGUGGCUGAAGUGGUUUUAAAGGCAGGGUAGAGGUUCAACAAGAAGAAAUCCAGGGAUGUCACUGCAGGCUGAGGGACAGUAUGCUUAAAGGCUCAGCUGUGGCAAAGCAAAGAUGCUUUUGAAGGAGUAGCUAGUAUUCUUGUUUAUUUUGUGCUCAGAGUGUGUGAGGGGACAGCUGAGAGCCAGGAAGGCAGUGGGUGGUGGAGGGAAGGUAAUUCCCAGACUGGAAAGUGUCGAUUUAAUUCCGUGGACGAUGGGGAGCUGGGCAGGAUGCUGGUCUGGGUGCUGGGAAUCCCAAACUACCAAGCGGAUGGAGGUUCUGUUUGUGAUGAGAAGCAGUAGGAAGAGAGCAAUGCAGGAAAGUGGCAACAGGAUCCUGAGGCCAAUGACAGAGGAGAGACAGAGCAGUAAUGCAGGGGGCAGCUCUCGCUCAUCUGGAUUUCUAGAUUUUAAGGAAGCAUCAGCGUGGAGGGAGAGUAAGGGAGUGACAGUGCGGGGAUGCCAUUCACGGGGAAAGGAACUUCAGAGGAAGCUCUGGUGAUGAUAGAGGGAACAUGAGAAAUUAGACUGGAGACAUUUUGCGUCACUUGGCCCACACCUUGGACUCCUGACAUUUCUGAAACUGACAUUUAUGAUAUCACCUCCAGAUGAGUUCAUACAAAUAGUGCUCAAAUUCAGGCUGGUGCUGAAAAUUUGAUAAAUGCACACUUUCAAAAUACACUAUAAUUUUGCAACUUUACUGGGAUAUUUAUACACUGUCCUAAUAUGUAGGGAGAUUUUUUUUUUAAAAAAAAGUGUCUUUGAAGCUCUGACUAUAGAUCCCUUCAUAGUCUGCAUUUACCUCCAACAUUAACACUCUGUACCCUGGACUCUUAAUUGCUGCAGCCCCAUGUACUUCUCACUACCUAAGAAAUGGAACAGUGUUCUCUCUGGGGGAGGUGGAAGUGGGCUUGACCUCUGCUAGAGAAAAGGCAUCUCAAAAAAGGUAAUUGGGAAGAGAUGGUAAAGAGGGAAAUCUUCUUUAUUGAAGUGCUUUCUAUAUAUAUCCAAGUAGAGAAAGAAGAGAGAAAAGUAUUUUCUUUCAAAAAGUAAGGGAACAUCUAUGGCAUUAGUAACCUUUCUUAACGUGUGGCAGUUUGUAUGCAAAUCACGUGCCACAUUCUAGGUGAUGCUUCCUGACAUUACCACUGAAGUUCUGUCUAGCUCAGUGAUGGGGUGCCAGAGAGGGAAAUGUCACCCCAGUUCUCCUUAACACCUGGAAUCUCCUACUUACACACAUAAGAACUUCUCCCAAGGAGCUCUCUGACUUCCUUUUAUGUCUUUCUCCCAUUGGGCCUUGAGUGAAGAUGGAUGGAGUGAAAAGAAUUCAAGAUGCAGGGGAUUUCAGCAGAUCUGAAAAUGAAGGACAAUGACCCUGACUUUCUUCCACCCCCACAAGCACUGAGCAGAUCGCUUCAAGAAGAAAGAGCAGCAGAUUGGCCAAUUAUUUAUAAAUUUUCCCUGAGAUCUUUAUUUCAUCCUGACAUCAAUUAGCACAUGAGUUUCAGCAAAAGAAGCCAUAGCAAUUUAAUACACACCUCCGAAGAAGAGGAAACACUAAUCGAAAUGAAGACUGUCUCCAAACCAAUUGAACAGGUCAGCCUCAUGUUCAAGUCCCGGGGGAGAAGGCUUGAUCUGCUCACACAAGGCCUGUAACUGCUCCAACAGGCCCAGCCAUGAUUUGUUCGUGAUGUUCGUGGUGACUCGCUGUGCUGGUUACAGAUGGUGAGCUGCUGAUGGAUGGCCCAAAGCCAGCACGUGGUCGGUUCUUCUGGUAUUCAACUGCCGUAUUAAUCAUGCAUGGAGAGGUCUUUCUUUCCCUCUAUGAAAAAUGAAAUGGCUAAUAUACGCUAUGGAAUGAGUGCCCUGAAACAAU